Molecule: ribosomal RNA, 254 nt
Filed under: uncultured bacterium
Lineage: Bacteria
Description: partial 16S ribosomal RNA
Rfam family: Bacterial small subunit ribosomal RNA
Source: RNAcentral
GACGUAGGGUCCGAGCGUUGUCCGGAGUUACUGGGCGUAAAGGGCGCGUAGGCGGCUUUGUGCGUCACACGUGAAAGCCCCCGGCUCAACCGGGGAGGGCCAUUGGAAACUGGGAGGCUUGAGUAUAGGAGAGAAGAGUGGAAUUCCACGUGUAGCGGUGAAAUGCGUAGAGAUGUGGAGGAACACCAGUGGCGAAGGCGACUCUUUGGCCUAUAACUGACGCUGAGGCGCGAAAGCGUGGGGGAGCAAACAGG